This 73-nucleotide transfer RNA is filed under the name Capra hircus (goat). It matches the Rfam family "tRNA". Rfam says of the family: Transfer RNA (tRNA) molecules are approximately 80 nucleotides in length. The record is from Rfam by way of RNAcentral. Lineage: Eukaryota; Metazoa; Chordata; Mammalia; Artiodactyla; Bovidae. RNAcentral also lists the same sequence under 1 other name.
UCCCUGGUGGUCCAGUGGCUAGGAUUCUGCACUCCCAGGGCAAGGGACUGGGGUUCGAUCCCUGGUCAGGGAA